Molecule: ribosomal RNA, 251 nt
Filed under: uncultured prokaryote
Description: partial 16S rRNA
Rfam family: Bacterial small subunit ribosomal RNA
Source: RNAcentral
ACAGAGAUGGCUACCGUUGUUCGGAAUCACUGGGCUUAAAGGGCGUGUAGGCGGAGCGAUAAGUUGGUAGUGAAAUUUCCUGGCUCACCCAGGGAACGGCUACCAAGACUGUUGCUCUUGAGUGCGGUAGGGGGGAGUGGAACUCCUGGUGGAGCGGUGAAAUGCGUUGAUAUCAGGAGGAACGCCGGAGGCGAAAGCGACUCUCUGGACCGCUACUGACGCUGAGGCGCGAAAGCUAGGGGAGCAAACGG